GCUUUUGGUUCAGUGGUAGAAUGCUCGCCUGCCACGCGGGCGCGGGUUUGAUUCCUGGUCCCGGCCGAUGCA
This is a non-coding RNA of Cordylochernes scorpioides, 72 nucleotides long. The record is from the annotation of a GenBank genome assembly. Lineage: Eukaryota; Metazoa; Arthropoda; Arachnida; Pseudoscorpiones; Chernetidae.